Molecule: long non-coding RNA, 2049 nt
Organism: Monodelphis domestica (gray short-tailed opossum)
Lineage: Eukaryota; Metazoa; Chordata; Mammalia; Didelphimorphia; Didelphidae
Source: Ensembl
UGUAUAUUCGCAUAAGUGAGUUUAAUAUUUGGUUUGAUUUUCAUUGUAAAACUUAUGCAAUGUGUUUAUUGUGAUUUUCAAAUUUUUUUCUCUAAGUUUACUGUUGAUGUUUUGCAAUAGUAGUACAGUUUUCUAUUUUAGCUGAUAAGAGUAUUUUAAGUUUGAUAUUUGCAUGGAAGUUAUGUUCAUCUUUUUUUAUGUUAUUUGCUGUUUUGAUUUUGUUUCUGUUUGAUUUUUGUAUUUGUUCAUUAUUUGUUUUCCUUUUUCCUGGUUACAAUUCCUUAGAAUAGGUUAGUGUUAAGAGUAAGAUAGUGGAGGGUAGGUUGUUAUUUUGGGUAGAUUUCUUAGUUUAGGUAACUGGUAAGUAUUUUUAGAUUGUGCACAAAUUCAAAAAGUGUUUCAAACACUAUUUUUUGGUUCGUGCAAAAGGGGGGAAUAUGAUAAAGGAUGAAAAGGUUUGCAAUUUGCAAAACUGUUGCAAAAAACUGAGAAAUGCAAACUUAGGAAGGACUGACAGUGGCAUGUGAUCAAGGGUCACAUGGGAGCCUGAGCCCCAGGGAUCUAGGUGAAGAUUCCAUUCUGUCCAACUGAUUUCUUGUCUCCUGAAGAAGUUGAGAUGAAGGCUUGAAGAGGAUUUUCCCUGUGAUCAAACUGAGGAAGGAGUUUUCCUGUAUCUGGCUGCUGGCAGAUCAGUCUUGCUUGGACAUCAGGACAGCUAACAACAAAAGAUCCUGGCUCUAUUUGACUUUGGACUCCUGCUUAACAGGGGACAAGUGGGAAUUUGAUGGCUAGCCCACAAGAUUGUGAGUUCUAGGUAUAGGAAAUGACAUCUUAAACUCAUUAACACUGAGUAUAUUCAGCUAGAGCUACUUGAAAGCACAAGAGUAUUCUAUUGCAAUCAUAUUCUUCAAUUUGUUCUACCACUUUUCAACUGAUGGACAUCCCUUUGCCAGAACAAAAAGAGCGGCUAUAAAUAUCUUUUAGCAAGUUAUACUUCUGGAAAUUCUCUGGCUUUCCCAUCAUACCCCUGGAGCCCAUUAUAGAAAAAAAAAAGAUGUCAUCCUACAAGAUUCCAUCAGCCUUGGUAUUGCACCAUGUUCUGUCUCCCUAAUAUAUCAUUUCAAAAUUAUCAAAAUAUCAUUUCUCGUAUGGCUAUGCUAUUGUGGAACUUGUCUGUCUUUUCCUCUAUGCAUCCACAUCAGAUUCCUUCUCCAUAUCACCUUUCCUGCUUGUUUUAAGCUACAUUUUCUGUGUUAUUUUAUUCUCUUAGAUUGUAAGCUCCUUGAAAGAAGAACUAUUUUUAUUUUAUAUUUGUAUCCUCAGUGUUUAGGACAGUGCCUAUCCAAAUCAAGUGUUAAAUAAAGUUUUAUUCACUGACAGUUCAAUUUACCUAUUUUUCUAUUCUUUAUUAAUUCUUUCUGUUUAUUCACACAAUUGAGUACUACGAUAAUAGAAUUGUUGCUUAUCUUUCAUUUUCAGAGAGUACCAAUAACAUCAUGGGGUGGUGUCUUGACCUAUGGAUGAAUUAGAUUUAAGUAAGGACAAGUUGUACAACUUUGUGAGCCUCAUUUUCUCUUCCAGAGUCAAAGUUCAGUGGCAACACAAAAGUCAGAACAACUGAUGAUAGUCUGGGAUAGAGUGGAUGGCCUCAGCUUCUUUGAUAUCUGGCCAACCUCUAGACAUGCCAUAGCAUGCUCCUUAGCUGCCUUCAUCGCUAUUUGAACAUGUUGUUCUCAUCCACCAAUUCCAUAAGAAAAAGUCUUCACAUAACUAUGGUAAAUGUUUGUUUGUUUGUUUUUUUAACUUACCUGUGAGUUGGGACCUGUCAGGUUAGCCUGGUUUAGCCCAUCUGCUGAGAAGUUUUUACUGAAGAAUAACUGCUAUGCAUUCUACAGCUUCUUGGAGCCACAGCUGAGAUUUGGGUAAAAGGUGGACAUCAAAGGUGUAUGAGAAGCCCAGAAAAGAGCUUGUCAGGCCCUCACACCAGAGGUACUAGUCCUCCCCAAAUUACCCAUAUGCCCAGAUAUUAGAGUAUAAACCUGAUGGCAU